Molecule: non-coding RNA, 71 nt
Organism: Phrynosoma platyrhinos (Desert horned lizard)
Lineage: Eukaryota; Metazoa; Chordata; Lepidosauria; Squamata; Phrynosomatidae
Source: the annotation of a GenBank genome assembly
AUCAAAGUGGAGUAGUGGUUUGAGUAUUGGACUAGAACUCUGAGACCAGAGUUCAAAUCUCUCCUUAGCUA